This 623-nucleotide ribosomal RNA is filed under the name uncultured archaeon. RNAcentral's name for it is "bacterial SSU rRNA". It matches the Rfam family "Archaeal small subunit ribosomal RNA", at positions 146 to 774 of the family's 1478-position model. The record is from RNAcentral.
AUAAUACUCCAUAGAUUAGAGACACUGGAAUGUUCUUUAGUCGAAAGUUCUGGCGCCUUAGGAUGGAUCUGCGGUCGAUUAGGUUGUUGUUGGGGUAACGGCCCAACAAGCCUGUAAUCGAUACGGGUUGUGGGAGCAAGAGCCCGGAGAUGGAAUCUGAGACACGAUUCCAGGCCCUACGGGGCGCAGCAGGCGCGAAAACUUUACAAUGCAGGAAACUGUGAUAAGGGAACUCCGAGUGCCCGUAUACGCGGGCUGUCCAGGUGUUUAAAAAUCAUCUGAAGAAAGGGCCGGGCAAGACCGGUGCCAGCCGCCGCGGUAAUACCGGCGGCUCGAGUGGUGGCCACUAUUAUUGGGCUUAAAGCGUCCGUAGCUGGACCGAUAAGUCUCUUGGGAAAUCCGCCGGCUCAACCGGCGGGCGUCUAAGGGAUACUGUUAGUCUAGGGACCGGGAGAGGUGAGAGGUACUCCGGGGGUAGGAGUGAAAUCCUGUAAUCCCCGGAGGACCACCGAUGGCGAAGGCAUCUCACCAGAACGGCUCCGACAGUGAGGGACGAAAGCUGGGGGAGCGAACCGGAUUAGAUACCCGGGUAGUCCCAGCCGUAAACUAUGCGCGUUAGGUGU